AAAAAAAAAGUAUACAUGAUCUGGGUAUGGCGGCCUGUAGUCUGCGGCAGCUGUGAGGUCUGGUUCCCCGACGUGCUGCAGCAACUGUCUUCCCGGCCCUGCCUGCGGGCUCCCUCCAUGCCCAACUCUGCCAUGGACACCAGAGUCCUCUCCUGUGUGGUCAUCUGUCUUCUGGGGACAGGUCUCUCAAAUGCCGGCAUCACACAGAACCCAAGACACCUGGUCAGGAGGAGGGGACAGGAGGCAAGACUGAGAUGCAACCCAAUGAAAGGACACAGUUAUGUUUAUUGGUAUCGGCAGCUCCCAGAGGAAGGUCUGAAAUUCAUGGUUUAUCUCCAGAGAGAAAAAAUCAUAGAUGAGUCAGGAAUGCCAAAGGAACGGUUUUCUGCUGAAUUUCCCAAAGAGGGCCCCAGCAUCCUGAGGAUCCAGCAGGCAGAGCAAGAAGACUCAGCAGCUUAUUUCUGUGCCAGCUCACCACCCACAUCAAUGCAGAGCCACAGCCUCUCAGUCCAAAAACAUCCUCCAGACCUGCCUUGGAAGCAGCGGUGGGCUGGGAAGGGAAACAUGUUACCGGUACAGUGAACAGGAGAAACACCCAGAAAAUCUUCCAGGAAGACAGAAGAGGGACACUGGCUGGGGAGCCUGAGAAAGAUCCAGAGAGAUCUCCAGAAAAAGACCAACCCUGAG
Piliocolobus tephrosceles (Ugandan red Colobus) is the source of this 687-nucleotide non-coding RNA. NCBI's taxonomy places the organism in Eukaryota, Metazoa, Chordata, Mammalia, Primates, Cercopithecidae. The record is from the annotation of a RefSeq genome assembly.